CAACAACGCUAGGGGUCCUGCGCCAUCAAACGCGCGGGUGAGAAAUACCCUCCGAACCUGAUCUGGAUAAUGCCAGCGAAGGGAAGCUACAGAGUCCGCGU
Molecule: non-coding RNA, 101 nt
Filed under: Massilia sp. WF1
Lineage: Bacteria; Pseudomonadati; Pseudomonadota; Betaproteobacteria; Burkholderiales; Oxalobacteraceae
Also listed under: 1 other name
Description: TPP riboswitch aptamer (THI element)
Rfam family: TPP riboswitch aptamer (THI element)
About the family: Vitamin B(1) in its active form thiamin pyrophosphate (TPP) is an essential coenzyme that is synthesised by coupling of pyrimidine and thiazole moieties in bacteria. The previously detected thiamin-regulatory element, thi box was extended, resulting in a new, highly conserved RNA secondary structure, the THI element, which is widely distributed in eubacteria and also occurs in some archaea.
Source: Rfam by way of RNAcentral